This 320-nucleotide ribosomal RNA is filed under the name uncultured Bacteroidales bacterium. Its description in RNAcentral is "partial 16S ribosomal RNA". The record is from RNAcentral. Lineage: Bacteria; Pseudomonadati; Bacteroidota; Bacteroidia; Bacteroidales.
GGAGUUUGGACCGUGUCUCAGUUCCAAUGUGGGGGACCUUCCUCUCAGAACCCCUACUGAUCGUCGCCUUGGUGGGCCGUUACCCCGCCAACAAGCUAAUCAGUCGCAUCCUCAUCCAUCGCCGAUAAAUCUUUAUUGACGUAACGAUGCCGAAACGUCAAACCAUCAGGUAUUAAUCUUUCUUUCGAAAGGCUAUCCCUGAGCCAUGGGUAGAUUGGAUACGCGUUACGCACCCGUGCGCCGGUCGCCAUCAAUUCUAGCAAGCUAGAAUCAUGCUGCCCCUCGACUUGCAUGUGUUAAGCCUGCAGCUAGCGUUCAUC